RNAcentral lists this ribosomal RNA (411 nucleotides) under uncultured bacterium. RNAcentral describes it as "bacterial SSU rRNA". It matches the Rfam family "Bacterial small subunit ribosomal RNA", at positions 8 to 433 of the family's 1533-position model. The record is from RNAcentral.
AGAGUUUGAUCCUGGCUCAGAAUCAACGCUGGCGGCGUGCCUAACACAUGCAAGUCGAACGAGAAAGUGGAGCAAUCCAUGAGUAAAGUGGCGACCGGGUGAGUAACACGUGACUAACCUACCCUCGAGUGUGGAAUAACAUCGGGAAACCGAUGCUAAUACCGCAUAAUAUCGCAAGAUCAAAGCAGCAAUGCGCUUGAGGAGGGGGUCGCGGCUGAUUAGCUAGUUGGCGGGGUAACGGCCCACCAAGGCGAAGAUCGGUAGCCGGCCUGAGAGGGCGCACGGCCACACUGGAACUGAAACACGGUCCAGACUCCUACGGGAGGCAGCAGUGGGGAAUUUUGCGCAAUGGGGGAAACCCUGACGCAGCAACGCCGCGUGGAGGAUGAAGUCCCUUGGGACGUAAACUCC